RNAcentral lists this ribosomal RNA (528 nucleotides) under uncultured Lachnospiraceae bacterium. Its description in RNAcentral is "bacterial SSU rRNA". It matches the Rfam family "Bacterial small subunit ribosomal RNA", at positions 1 to 507 of the family's 1533-position model. The record is from RNAcentral. Lineage: Bacteria; Bacillati; Bacillota; Clostridia; Lachnospirales; Lachnospiraceae.
GUUGUGUCCUGGUCCAGUCCUCGAGUAGAGGUUUGUAUCCUGGCGUACAGGAUGAACGACUGGCGGCGUGCUUAACACAUGCAAGUCGAACGGACCCAUAUUGAAACUAGUGAUAUAUGGGUUAGUGGGCGGGACGGGUAGGAGUAACGGCGUGGGUAACCGUCGACCUUACACAGGGGGAUAACACUUAGAAAUAAGGUGCUAAAACCGCAUAAGCGCACAGCUUCGCAUGAAGCGGUGUGAAAAACUCCGGUGGUGUAAGAUGGACCCGCGUCUGAUUAGCUUGUUGGCGGGGUAACGGCCCACCAAGGCGACGAUCAGUAGCCGGCCUGAGAGGGCGGACGGCCACAUUGGGACUGAGACACGGCCCAGACUCCUACGGGAGGCAGCAGUGGGGGAAUAUUGCACAAUGGGGGAAACCCUGAUGCAGCGACGCCGCGUGAGUGAAGAAGUAAUUCGUUACGUAAAGCUCUAUCAGCAGGGAAGAAAAUGACGGUACCUGAGUAAGAAGCCCCGGCUAACUACGUG